RNAcentral lists this transfer RNA (72 nucleotides) under Candidatus Nomurabacteria bacterium. RNAcentral describes it as "tRNA-His". It matches the Rfam family "tRNA". Rfam says of the family: Transfer RNA (tRNA) molecules are approximately 80 nucleotides in length. Their secondary structure includes four short double-helical elements and three loops (D, anti-codon, and T loops). RNAcentral also lists the same sequence under 1 other name. The record is from RNAcentral. Lineage: Bacteria; Candidatus Nomuraibacteriota.
GGGAUUAUGGUGUAACGGUUAACACUGAGGUUUGUGGAACCUUCGAUCUGGGUUCGAUUCCCAGUAGUCCCC